This 2373-nucleotide long non-coding RNA is filed under the name Homo sapiens (human). Its description in RNAcentral is "non-protein coding lnc-SP9-13:2". The record is from RNAcentral. Lineage: Eukaryota; Metazoa; Chordata; Mammalia; Primates; Hominidae.
AGUCACAGCCAUCUCGCUCCCAGCCCCCUUAGCCCCAGUUUUCCAACCGGUCUCCCACUUUCACGUACCCUGAAGGCAGGCAUUUAAAGCAAAAAAGAAAUCUCAAGUCACCUCACAUACGGAAGGAGAGUUUUAAUUUUGGCCAGUGGCACCAAAACGGGCACUUAAAAGUAUAUUUCAUUUUACUUGUGGUAUGUGUAUGUAUUCAGUGGGGCAGAAUUCUGUGUUUUAAAAAAUCGGUCACAUAACCAUUUUGCUGCACAAACGUAUUAUUCCCGGCCUCUUUAUCCUCUUGGUACCAAGUCAGAUAUCUCCUGAAAUAAGCCCAUCAACCACUGCCAACGUUUUUUAAAGUCGUGAACCGGUGAACUACCUUUUUUCCCCCAUUGGAACAUUUUUGUUGUAUUUUAAAAUCUUGUUUCUCUUACUGGAUUAGGUUAACACUCCUUCCUUCUUUGGCAUCCUUGGUAUCUUGCUGUCAUCCUGGGGGAAAAUGCUCAGGUUUUAAGUGUGUGUUUUGCCAACUAAGAGACAUCUCUCCCUGUUACCUUCAAGUAUAGUUGCCAAGAAAGAAGUUAAAUUCAAGAGGUGGAAACACUGUCCACAAUACCUGUUUUUUAGAAAUCUGGCUCAAGAUUCAGUUUUCCCAUUACUGUGAUUAUUAUAUUUUGUGUGAUAUGUGAUGUGCUGGUGGAUGAGGUUGUGAAGUCCAAGCACUUUAACCAGAUUUUGUGUGUCCUAACUUAAUAGGUAAUCCAUUUGUGAGAUACUGAGUUUACAUCCCAGUUCCAAAGCACUUAACCGCCUAUGCUGACAGGAUCAGAAACAUUGUAUGGUUACUUUGCUCUUAAUUGUACAAAGAUCAAAUUUCCAGGGAAUUAACCUAAAAACCACAAACAUGCGGAAACGAGACUCAAAAUUCUGAGUCCAAGAAUAGGGUUCAUCUCUUCUAAUAGUCCUUGUAGUCUCAUAUUUAAGUGGAAAAGUCACUUUCAAAGUUGAGUCGUAUAACCUAUGUACUAUUUUACAACAAAAACUUUUAAGGAAAUAAAAGUCACAAAAUAACCUGAUUUGGGGUGGGGAAAAUGGAAAAAGAGAUGGGUGCCUUGAAGAGCGGGACAGGUGAAAAUAAGUGGACUGGGAGGGAGGAAGGGAAGUCACUAUUAUCACUCUGUUCCUACCCGGAUCUCUUGGGUGGAAGGUAGCUCUUUCCCUAGAAAGGAUAUUUCAGGCAUUUUCAGUUUUGUUUUGUUUUUUUUUUCAGGAGUGGGGAUAUGUUCUACGCUAUCGCCAUACCCUUUUUGCAAAGUGUUAGUCCAGCCACCUUGAGAGCAAAGUACUUGGCCACAGGAGUUAAAUUCGUUUCUUCAUUGAUACCAAUUGGCAAAUGAUAUGAGACAUGAAUUGUCUUUUUUCUUUCUUUUUUGGGGGGUGGGGACGGCACGUCCGCAGACCAUUUUGACAAGCAAAAAAAACACUUCUGAAAAAGAAAAAAAUAGCCUAGCUGAGCGUGGUGGCUCACACCUGUAAUCCCAGCACUUUGGGAGGCCAAGGCAGGCAGAUCACUUGAGGUCAGAAGUUCGAGACCAGCCUGAUUGCCAUGGUGAAACCCCAUCUCUACUUGAAAUACAAAAAUUAGCCAGGCUUGGUGGCGCACACGUGUAAUCCCAGCUACUCAGGAGACUGAGACGGGAGAAUCACUUGAACCUGGGAGGUGGAGGUUGCAGUGAGCCGAGAUGGCACCACUGCGCUCCAGCAAGACUGAGACUGUCCCAAAAAAAAAAACCUACCUGAACUAACUAUACUGCUUUUGAUGCGAUGCUUUUAAGAGAUACAUAUGGAGGUAGGGUGACAGAGGUUGGUUAAUUGGUACAAACAUACAGUUAGAUAGAAGGAAUAAGUUCUAGUGUUCAAUAGCACAGUAGGGUGACUAUAGUAAAUAGCAAUAUAUUUUAUAUUCCAAAAUAACUGGAAGGGAAGAUUUGAAAUGUUCCCAACACAAGAAAUGACAAAUGUUCAAGGUGACAGGGGAGAGGGGGCGGAAAAAAAAUGUCCAAAGUGAUAGAUACCCUAAACACUCUGAUUUGAUCAUUACAACACUGUAUGCAUGUAUCAAAAUACCACAUGUACCCCAUAAAUAUGUACAAAUAUGUAUCCGUUUUUUAAAUUUUUUAACAAAAGAUGCAUAUACCAAAAGCAUCACUCACUACUUUAGUCAGAUUCAGAGAACCCUCUUAGACCACACUUGAGUUAUUGUCAUGGAAUAGCUUUUUAAAAUGGCUGGAAAUGAAGAUAGUCUCUUGAAAGAACACCUUUUCCUACCUAUUUCAGUAUUGUAGUCAAAUCUUGAAAUACAAAUUUUUUUUUUCAAUG